GUAGGUGGCAAGCGUUGUCCGGAAUUAUUGGGCGUAAAGCGCGCGCAGGCGGUCCUUUAAGUCUGAUGUGAAAGCCCACGGCUCAACCGUGGAGGGUCAUUGGAAACUGGGGGACUUGAGUACAGAAGAGGAAAGCGGAAUUCCAAGUGUAGCGGUGAAAUGCGUAGAGAUUUGGAGGAACACCAGUGGCGAAGGCGGCUUUCUGGUCUGUAACUGACGCUGAGGCGCGAAAGCGUGGGGAGCAAACAGGGAUAGAUACCCUGGUAGUCCACGCCGUAAACGAUGAGUGCUAAGUGUUAGGGGGUUUCCCGCCCCUUAGUGCUGCAGCUAACGCAUUAAGCACUCCGCCUGGGGGAUACGGCCGCAAGGCUG
This 372-nucleotide ribosomal RNA is filed under the name uncultured organism. Its description in RNAcentral is "partial 16S ribosomal RNA". It matches the Rfam family "Bacterial small subunit ribosomal RNA", at positions 527 to 896 of the family's 1533-position model. The record is from RNAcentral.